GGACUUCAAAGCAUAAUUAUUACCCAGGCUGAAGAAGAAUAUUUGCAAGCAUUGAAUGGACUACAUAAUCCGAAAGUACCAGAUAAUAUAGUUUUGGUGUCUGGACAGGUGGAUCAUUGAUACAUGUGCCCAGGUAACCAUAUAAGUGAAAUUUGUGCAGAAUAGCUACAGACCAUGAAGUUCAGAUGUGAAGAGAUGCAGGUCUUUGUUCUACAUGGUGUAUGAGUGAAACAUGUGUAUGGCAGUCAUAGAAAACAUUUAAAAAAGAAAUCUGUGAGAUAGAUCUUGCUGCAGCAUGCCAUUGACAAACCAAGAAGCUCAGAUUGUUGUGUGCACACUAGUUUGACUUGUUUAUUGCUUUGAAUUGAUUGUCAUAGAAAAAAG
This is a long non-coding RNA of Mercenaria mercenaria, 384 nucleotides long. RefSeq lists it as uncharacterized. The transcript has 3 exons. The record is from RefSeq and is a predicted model, not a curated record. Lineage: Eukaryota; Metazoa; Mollusca; Bivalvia; Venerida; Veneridae.